Molecule: ribosomal RNA, 490 nt
Filed under: uncultured Methanosaeta sp.
Lineage: Archaea; Methanobacteriati; Methanobacteriota; Methanomicrobia; Methanotrichales; Methanotrichaceae
Description: bacterial SSU rRNA
Rfam family: Archaeal small subunit ribosomal RNA
Source: RNAcentral
CAGAAACUUAAAGGAAGUUGCGGGGGAGCACUACAACGGGUGGAGCCUGCGGUUUAAGUUGGAUUCAACGCCGGAAAUCUCACCGGGGCGACAGCAAUAUGAAGGUCAGGCUGAAGACCUUACCCGAUUAGCUGAGAGGUGGUGCAUGGCCGUCGUCAGUUCGUACUGUGAAGCAUCCUGUUAAGUCAGGCAACGAGCGAGACCCACGUCCACAGUUGCCAGCAUACCCUCCGGGGUGAUGGGUACACUGUGGAGACCGCCGCUGCUAAAGCGGAGGAAGGAGUGGGCAACGGUAGGUCAGUAUGCCCCGAAUCUCCCGGGCUACACGCGGGCUACAAUGGUUGGUACAAUGGGCAUCUACCCCGAAAGGGGAAGGAAAUCUCUUAAAGCCAAUCGUAGUUCGGAUUGAGGGCUGCAACUCGCCCUCAUGAAGCUGGAAUCCGUAGUAAUCGCGUUUCAACAGAACGCGGUGAAUACGUCCCUGCUCCUU